CAUAACCUCGGGAAACUGGGGAUAAUACCCUAUAGGUUACAGAUGCUGGAAUGCUCUGUAACUCAAAGCUCCGGCGCCUUAGGAUGGAUCUGCGGCCGAUUAGGUUGUUGUUGGGGUAACGGCCCAACAAGCCAGUAAUCGGUACGGGUUGUGGGAGCAAGAGCCCGGAGUUGGAUUCUGAGACACGAAUCCAGGCCCUACGGGGCGCAGCAGGCGCGAAAACUUUACAAUGCGGGCAACCGUGAUAAGGGAACCUCGAGUGCCUGUAUAUGCAGGCUGUCCAGGUGUCUAAAGCACACCUGAAGAAAGGGCCGGGCAAGACCGGUGCCAGCCGCCGCGGUAAUACCGGCGGCUCGAGUGGUGGCCACUUUUAUUGGGCUUAAAGCGUUCGUAGCUGGGUUGUUAAGUCUCUUGGGAAAUCCGACGGCUCAACCGUCGGGCGUCUAAGGGAUACUGGCAAUCUUGGAACCGGGAGAGGUGAGGGGUACUUCGGGGGUAGGAGUGAAAUCCUGUAAUCCUCGAGGGACCACCUGUGGCGAAGGCGCCUCACCAGAACGGCUUCGACAGUGAGGGACGAAAGCUGGGGGAGCAAACCGGAUUAGAUACCCGGGUAGUCCCAGCCGUAAACGAUGCGCGUUAGGUGUAUCGACGACCACGAGUCGUCGAGGUGCCGAAGGGAAACCGUGAAACGUGCCGCCUGGGAAGUACGGUCGCAAGGCUGAAACUUAAAGGAAUUGGCGGGGGAGCACCACAACAGGUGGAGCCUGCGGUUUAAUUGGACUCAACGCCGGAAAUCUCACCGGAUAAGACAGCGGAAUGAUUGCCGGGCUGAAGACUCUGCAUGACUAGCUGAGAGGAGGUGCAU
RNAcentral lists this ribosomal RNA (865 nucleotides) under uncultured archaeon. RNAcentral describes it as "bacterial SSU rRNA". It matches the Rfam family "Archaeal small subunit ribosomal RNA", at positions 125 to 995 of the family's 1478-position model. The record is from RNAcentral.